RNAcentral lists this non-coding RNA (110 nucleotides) under Cytophaga hutchinsonii. Its description in RNAcentral is "SAM-I sequence". It matches the Rfam family "SAM riboswitch aptamer (S box leader)". From Rfam's summary of the family: The SAM riboswitch is found upstream of a number of genes which code for proteins involved in methionine or cysteine biosynthesis in Gram-positive bacteria. The SAM riboswitch acts at the level of transcription termination control. The predicted structure consists of a complex stem-loop region followed by a single stem loop terminator region. Lineage: Bacteria; Pseudomonadati; Bacteroidota; Cytophagia; Cytophagales; Cytophagaceae. RNAcentral also lists the same sequence under 1 other name. The record is from RNAcentral.
GAUUUAUAAAGAAGAGGGGAGAGAACGGGCUCUUUGAACCUCUAGCAACCUCCGGGAGCAAAUCCAGAAAGGUGCUAAUUCCUGACCUGAAUAAACAGGGCAUAUAAAUU